This 513-nucleotide ribosomal RNA is filed under the name uncultured Hanseniaspora. RNAcentral describes it as "eukaryotic LSU rRNA". It matches the Rfam family "Eukaryotic large subunit ribosomal RNA", at positions 62 to 574 of the family's 3401-position model. The record is from RNAcentral. Lineage: Eukaryota; Fungi; Ascomycota; Saccharomycetes; Saccharomycodales; Saccharomycodaceae.
AAACCAACUGGGAUUACCUUAGUAACGGCGAGUGAAGCGGUAAAAGCUCAAAUUUGAAAUCUGGUACUUUCAGUGCCCGAGUUGUAAUUUGUAGAAUUUGUCUUUGAUUAGGUCCUUGUCUAUGUUCCUUGGAACAGGACGUCAUAGAGGGUGAGAAUCCCGUUUGGCGAGGAUACCUUUUCUCUGUAAGACUUUUUCGAAGAGUCGAGUUGUUUGGGAAUGCAGCUCAAAGUGGGUGGUAAAUUCCAUCUAAAGCUAAAUAUUGGCGAGAGACCGAUAGCGAACAAGUACAGUGAUGGAAAGAUGAAAAGAACUUUGAAAAGAGAGUGAAAAAGUACGUGAAAUUGUUGAAAGGGAAGGGCAUUUGAUCAGACAUGGUGUUUUUUAAAUGUGCAAGUCUCUCGUGGACAUGUGCCUCUGGAAAUUAACACUGGGCCAACAUCAGUUCUGGCGGCAGGAUAAAUCAUUAAGAAUGUAGCUACCUCGGUAGUGUUAUAGCUUUUUGGAAUACUG